UGGGGAAUUUUGGACAAUGGGCGCAAGCCUGAUCCAGCAAUGCCGCGUGCAGGAUGAAGGCCUUCGGGUUGUAAACUGCUUUUGUACGGAGCGAAAAGGUCUGCCCUAAUACGGUGGGCUCAUGACGGUACCGUGAGAAUAAGCACCGGCUAACUACGUGCCAGCAGCCGCGGUAAUACGUAGGGUGCGAGCGUUAAUCGGAAUUACUGGGCGUAAAGCGUGCGCAGGCGGUUGUGUAAGACAGGUGUGAAAUUCCCGGGCUUAACCUGGGAACUGCGCUUGUGACUGCACGGCUAGAGUACGGUAGAGGGGGAUGGAAUUCCGCGUGUAGCAGUGAAAUGCGUAGAUAUGCGGAGGAACACCGAUGGCGAAGGCAAUCCCCUGGACCUGUACUGACGCUCAUGCACGAAAGCGUGGGGAGCAAACA
This 427-nucleotide ribosomal RNA is filed under the name uncultured bacterium. Its description in RNAcentral is "bacterial SSU rRNA". It matches the Rfam family "Bacterial small subunit ribosomal RNA", at positions 355 to 774 of the family's 1533-position model. The record is from RNAcentral.